Molecule: ribosomal RNA, 448 nt
Filed under: uncultured bacterium
Lineage: Bacteria
Description: partial 16S ribosomal RNA
Rfam family: Bacterial small subunit ribosomal RNA
Source: RNAcentral
UUCCAGACUCCUACGGGAGGCAGCAGUGGGGGAUAUUGCGCAAUGGGGGGAACCCUGAUGCAGCGACGCCGCGUGGGUGAAGAAGCGCCUCGGCGCGUAAAGCCCUAUCGGCAGGGAAGAAGGAGGACGGUACCUGACUAAGAAGCCCCGGCUAACUACGUGCCAGCAGCCGCGGGAAUACGUAGGGGGCAGGCGUUAUCCGGAUUUACUGGGUGUAAAGGGGGCGCAGACGGCAGCGCAAGCCAGGAGUGAAAGCCCGGGGCCCAACCCCGGGACUGCUCUUGGAACUGCGCGGCUGGAGUGCAGGAGGGGCAGGCGGAAUUCCUGGUGUAGCGGUGAAAUGCGUAGAUAUCAGGAGGAACACCAGUGGCGAAGGCGGCCUGCUGGACUGCGACUGACGUUGAGGCCCGAAAGCGUGGGGAGCAAACAGGAUUAGAUACCCGGGUAA